Molecule: ribosomal RNA, 253 nt
Filed under: uncultured bacterium
Lineage: Bacteria
Description: partial 16S ribosomal RNA
Rfam family: Bacterial small subunit ribosomal RNA
Source: RNAcentral
UACGUAGGUGGCAAGCGUUGUCCGGAUUUAUUGGGUUUAGAGGGUGCGUAGGCGGUCUAUUAAGUCAGCGGUGAAAUACUCCAGCUUAACUGGAGGGGUGCCAUUGAUACUGAUGGACUUGAGUCAAGUCGAGGUAGGCGGAAUUGACGGUGUAGCGGUGAAAUGCUUAGAUAUCGUCAAGAACACCAAUAGUGAAGACAGCUUACUGGGCUUAAACUGACGCUGAGGCACGAAAGUGUGGGGAUCAAACAGG